Mytilus californianus (California mussel) is the source of this 848-nucleotide long non-coding RNA. RefSeq lists it as uncharacterized. Lineage: Eukaryota; Metazoa; Mollusca; Bivalvia; Mytilida; Mytilidae. The record is from RefSeq and is a predicted model, not a curated record. The transcript has 3 exons.
GCUUUGCUUCAGCAGAACACUACCACCCUCUUUGCUAACGCUAUUCAGCCGUACGCAAUACAAAAUGGAACAUCUGAUAGAGGUCCAUUUGGAAUGUUUCCGGAAAUUACAAUAGAAUUCCAUACAAACUCUAUGGCUCUAGCUGCCAUCUGUAGCUGCACUUCCAUCGUUAUUGUCUGUAUAUUCCUGUACUGCUGCUGCCGAGCUAGCCGUAGGGACGGGAACUACGAAUGUUCAUGUGCAUAUGAAAGACCUACAUCGCAUUCAACAUCUAGUAAGAAGUCUUCGGCUCUUAUAUCUGGUUCAAUAUCUAUCAGAAUUCCGACCUCUGAAAGCAGAUAUCAACCUUACAAACCUACAACCGACACAAUAUUUGAACAGUCCGAAAGUGAAGAUAGUUCUGCAGUUAAUAUUGCUCAGAGGAAAACCACAUCGCUUGACGUUUGAAUCCAUUUGAGUAUUUUCGCAACUUACUACAAGGUGUUAAAGCAGACUAAUAAAAUAAUAUUCGACCGUUUAGACAUCUAAUUAAAAAUGUGAAAACCAAUUAAUGCAUUUUUGUCAAAAUUAAAGUUAUAGGCUAUCUGGCUAUUCCUAAAUAUGACUCGAAACUUUACAACAUAAACAUUCCGUUUCAUCCUGAUCAACCAAGCAUCUACAGAGAAGAUUGUUUUCAUAUGUCUUAUGCUCCAUAUUGGAGAAUAUACUGUGCAUCAGUGUUUAUUUGACAUAGCGUUAUAGUUUGUCACGAAGAUCUAUGAAUAUUCUACAUGUUCUAUGUAUUUAUAUUUUUAUAAUGUACAUUCCAUUUUUGUAUAUUUUUAUUAAAUCAUGAUAUAUUUUUAAAA